Molecule: long non-coding RNA, 3025 nt
Organism: Oreochromis aureus
Lineage: Eukaryota; Metazoa; Chordata; Actinopteri; Cichliformes; Cichlidae
Exons: 3
Source: RefSeq, a predicted model, not a curated record
AAACAUAGUCCAGCAUCGACGAACCAUCAGUUUGGAAGGGUUACAGAUAUUUAUUCGUGACGACGAGACCAAACUCUUCUUAACAUGUCUGGAUACAGAUCCAGUUGAGAGGGCAACCCGAGGUGUUACGGUGGGCAUCCUCACUGUUCUGGAGGACUAUGUGGGACCCAACUCGCAGUCCACAGUGGUCAACACUGCCAUUGUUUUGGAAGAGGACAUUAUUCUUGAUGAUCUGCCAGACCUUCCCACUGCCUUUGCCUACCUGUUUGGCCUACUUUAUGGGGUCAACAUGGAGUUUCCCAAAGAACUCAAGUACACAUUUGUUUGCUGUAUGGAAACCAGAUAGAAGAGUUCAUAUCCUGCCAUCUGAUGUUUUGAAUCUGUUUGUUAGUGACUAUCAGUCAAGAUAGGUUUGAUAUUCUGUCUGACAAUACCACACCUUUAAAAUUGGAUGAGUAACAUUUGUUACAAAAAUUUGACCUUUUUUUGUUUUUGGAAAAGGACUUUAUUUGUGGCUAAAUGUUGUCAGUAUGUUAAAAAUGGCUCAUCUCAAAACAUUGUCAGUGGUGCAGUUGUGUUUGAACACAAAGUUAUUUGAAAAUCAAAAUUGUGUAAACAUUCAUUAAUACAACAGGGAGCACCUCAUGAAAACUAUAAAGGAUACUUUUUCUAAACUUUAGGAAAUUGAUUGGCAAAACAAAAAAAAUAUGUUGUGUAAACUUUAGGAAUUACAUUGUUAAAACAAUGAAAAAUAUAUUUUGUCAACUUUAGGAAAUACGUUGCCAAAACUAAAACUAAUACCUUGUGUAAACUUUAGGAAAUACAUUGCUAAGACAAUAAAAUAUGAGUUAAGAAAAAGCACAGUUAUUAAUUUUGUAAACACAAAAACAUUAGUUGAAGCAACUUUUCUCCUAAACUUGAAAUUAUAAGUUAUUCAUCAGAACCUAAAAACGUAAAUGCAGUGGGUUGCCUUGAGUUUUUAAGUUUUUGCAACAAUUCUUUUUUUUACAGUGUAUUUUAUUUAGUGCCCUGUGAACUAAUGCCUUUCUUCCAACCAUGUCUAACAAAAACACAUGAAUUUAAAUAAAAUAUCCAUAAAGUAAAGUAGAAAGGAUUGCUUUUGUAUAAUAAAACAGUAAGAAUAGGAGUAAAUUUUGAUUUUGAUAUAUUGGUAUGUCACAAAGUCAUGUAUUAUAUUAGCAAUGAGUAAUAUUGCACUGAAGUUUAUGUUAUUGAGUAAUAAGGGGGCAGAAACUUGGAAUAAUAAUGUGGAAACAUUACUUUAUUAACUUGGUUUUCCAUAUUAUUACCGUCUUGUUUCCACAUUAUUACACCACUAUUAUGGCAUUAUUAUGAAGUUGUAAUAGAAAGGAUUACCAAAGUGUGAAGAAUUAUCAUUGAAAUCAUUUUUUAAAUGUGUUUUGGAGAAGUUUGUCUAAGUUUAUAAGACAUCUUUGAGUUUCAGGAGAGGAAAAAAAGUGGUAAACAUUUAAAUGCAUAAAGCAAAACAUAUAGUUGGCCCAGAAAUUGAGCUCAGCAUCACACAUACUGUUUCAUCUUGCAAAGAAACCCUGUAAUGUUUGCCAAUAUUCCCUUGGCUUGUCCAUUUGAAUAGUGCAUGGAAUGACAUUUAUAAUACGCCCUUUACUCUGCUCACCUCAUUAUAGGUAAGGCAAGCUGUGAGGAAAUGGCUUUAGAUUAUGAAAAACAGAGCCACAGGAAUUCAGCUGAAAAGUCCAAACCUUUGGCAGUUCUCUCAGGAGAAUCUACACAUACAGUGCAUUAUUUACAGCCUAUUCUAAUACUAACUCAGCCAUGGAUGAGCUGCACAAGGCAAUAAGGAGUCAGCAGAACUCCUAUCCCAAUGCAGUGUACAUCAUAGUUGGGGACUUUAACCAUGUUGACUUAAGGUCAGUAUUCACCAAAUUUGAACAUUAUAGCAACAAGGUGGAAAAACACACUGGAUAAAGCCUACAGCAACAUCCAAAAAGGCUACAGAGCAACCCCUCUCGGACUAAUGGUGUCAAAGGCCCCUCCCAUCAGAAGGAGACACACUCCACCCACUCCAGUUCGCAUACAGAGCUAACACAUUAACUGAAGAUGCCAUUGUUACAACGCUCAGAAUACUGCAGCAAGACUCUUAACAGGCACCAACAAAAGAUCUCAUAUCACCCCAGUUUUGGCCUCCCUUCACUGGUUGCCUGUAAAUUUUAGGUUUCAUUUUCAAAUUUUACUUCUAACCUUUAGGGCCCUACAUGGUCAAGCUCCACAGUAUAUAUAUCUGACCCGCUGAAACUGCAUUCAUCUUCCCAAGCUCUAAGGUCAUCAGGUCAACAACUGCUGAUUCCACCACACACUCGAUUUUAAACUCGUGGUGAUCGUUCCUUUCAGGCAGUGGCACCACAGUUGUGGAAUUCUCUUUCACUGUUUUUACACUGUACUGACACCACUGAUUCUUUUAAAAAGCAGCUGAAGAUAUUUUUAUAUAGACAAGCAUUCAACUAAUUUGUUGUUUUUAUGUUGUAUUUUAUUGUUUUACAUUGUCCAGCAUGUUGACUGUUACCUGAAAUGCCACUUACUGACCAACAGAUGGCACUCUUACAAAUACCAAAUCUGAUUUGGUAUCUGUAGUCAGACAGUGCUUGUGUCAUCAGUGUCACUUUAACAUUACAAAGAGUAAAAACAAGUAAAAUAUAUUUACAAUAAGCAGACCUAAGUGCCGGAAAGUUCAAACACUGAAAAGCACAAAGGCCAACUUUGUGUCAUCCUCUGAAUGCUUCAUGACACUCUUAGACAGUUUUUAUCCUUCAAUGCUGAUUUGACUGAGUGAUGUGUACAUGGUUUUAUUUAUUUACUUACUUUCACAUUUACCUCGACUUACUUUGCUUCAGCCAGCUGUGUUUUUAUAAUCAUGCAGUCAUCGGACCUUUGGAACCUUUGUGAAUUGGACAAAAUCCAAAAUAAAUUCAAACUUGUGCACCCAGUUCUUUUUUUUAAGUCAUUAAAGAUGCCAUAAUGGGUAUAU